RNAcentral lists this long non-coding RNA (234 nucleotides) under Lathyrus oleraceus (garden pea). Its description in RNAcentral is "Pisum sativum (pea) long non-coding RNA (PSAT_LNC021658)". Lineage: Eukaryota; Viridiplantae; Streptophyta; Magnoliopsida; Fabales; Fabaceae. The record is from RNAcentral.
AAUCAGUUAGGUAAUUAGGAUGAAUCUCCGAAACAUUUGUAAUCAAUUAGGUAAUUAGGAUGAAUCUCCAUAAGGGUAUCCCACAAAUAAAGUGGAAUACCUAGCAAGCUACCUUCUUCGGGAGUAUGUGAGCCCUCACAACAUUCAGCAAAUAGGUCAGAAUACCAAAUGGGGUGCAAUCAAGGAUUGCACCAAACAAAUCAGUAAUAGUAUCAGGUAAACAAUGCAUGGUUA